This 429-nucleotide ribosomal RNA is filed under the name Acidobacteriota bacterium. Its description in RNAcentral is "Acidobacteria bacterium partial 16S ribosomal RNA". It matches the Rfam family "Bacterial small subunit ribosomal RNA", at positions 355 to 776 of the family's 1533-position model. Lineage: Bacteria; Pseudomonadati; Acidobacteriota. The record is from RNAcentral.
UGGGGAAUUUUGGACAAUGGGGGAAACCCUGAUCCAGCCAUCCCGCGUGUGCGAUGAAGGCCUUCGGGUUGUAAAGCACUUUUGGCAGGAAAGAAACGUCAUGGGUUAAUACCCCGUGAAACUGACGGUACCUGCAGAAUAAGCACCGUCUAACUACGUGCCAGCAGCCGCGGUAAUACGUAGGGUGCAAGCGUUAAUCGGAAUUACUGGGCGUAAAGCGUGCGCAGGCGGUUCGGAAAGAAAGAUGUGAAAUCCCAGAGCUCAACUUUGGAACUGCAUUUUUAACUACCGGGCUAGAGUGUGUCAGAGGGAGGUGGAAUUCCGCGUGUAGCAGUGAAAUGCGUAGAUAUGCGGGGGAACACCGAUGGCGAAGGCAGCCUCCUGGGAUAACACUGACGCUCAUGCACGAAAGCGUGGGGAGCAAACAGG